GACGAACGCUGGCGGCAUGCUUAACACAUGCAAGUCGAACGGAACCUUCCGGCCUUUUUGCGCUGGUCUGCGUACGGCCGGGGGACUUACCCGUAGGUACCCUGCCACUGACAUUAGGUUAACCUAAGACAGCUGGAUCUCAUCCGGCCUAAGAUUUACUGCCUCAUGGUGGGGGUGGGUAAGAUUCGGCGGUUGGGGAUGUAGUGGCGGACUAUGAGGUUGAUGCUGGGGUAGUGGCAUACCAAGGUCUGGACGGGUAGCCGGCCUGAGAGGGUGACCGGCCACAGUGGGACUGGGAUACGGCCCAGACUCCUACGGGAGGGAGCAGUGGGGAUUAUUGCACAAUGGGCGGAAGCCUGAUGCAGCAACGCCGCGUGCGCGAGAACGGCCUUCGGGUUGGGAUCCUAAUGCUCUUUUAACGAAGCGUAAGUGACGGUAAUGGGUAAAGAAGCACCCGCUAACUACCUG
This 468-nucleotide ribosomal RNA is filed under the name uncultured bacterium. RNAcentral describes it as "partial 16S ribosomal RNA". It matches the Rfam family "Bacterial small subunit ribosomal RNA", at positions 28 to 507 of the family's 1533-position model. The record is from RNAcentral.